This 1007-nucleotide long non-coding RNA is filed under the name Physeter macrocephalus (sperm whale). Its description in RNAcentral is "Physeter catodon (sperm whale) lncRNA (ENSPCTG00005021104.1)". Lineage: Eukaryota; Metazoa; Chordata; Mammalia; Artiodactyla; Physeteridae. The record is from RNAcentral.
AGGGACUGGGAUCCCCCAAAGCUGGGCCUGUGAGCCUCUGCCUCCAGCCCAGCUGUUGCUCUAUUUCCUAGAGAGGGAGAAGGGCUCAGAGCAAGAGGCUCCCUCAAGCGAGCUGGGCUAAGGCAGAAGGUUGAGCCAGGUGGGUCUGCAGGUUUCAGUCAGCAAUUGUGGCCUUGCCAGUCACAGAGUGCUAGGUACAACCACAGGGGGUCUGGAAUUGUUGGCCCUUAAUCAUCCUGACUGACUUAUUUUCAAUCACAUCAGGACUUCCUGGUACCCCCGGCCGACCAGGGGCUAAAGGUGAACCGGGAGCUCCAGGCAGGAUCGUGACUUCAGAGGGAUCAUCGACUCUCACUGUCCCAGGUCCCCCGGGACCUCCUGGAGCGAUGGGACCUCCAGGACCUCCAGGUGCCUCAGGUCAGUCUGUUUUCUUGCUUUGCCCCAGAUCAGCAUCAGGCCUUGGCUGCAUUUGACUAUAGCAGUAUUCGCUCAAAUCCUGAAACCCCGGCCGGAACCCGGGGAAGAGUAGGAAGGGGCUGAGAAAGCCCCUCCCAGACAGCCUGGUGAACCCUGAUCACUCGCCAGCAAGUAUCCCAAGCCCUGCACGGCAUUGCUUCACUAGGUCCCCGCAGUACCAUUGGAGGCUCGAGCAGGUAAAUGACACUCCUAAGGUCACACGGAUAAGAAAUAGCAGAGUCAGGGUUUGGACCAGGUCUUCUGCCUCCAGAACCAGUAUUUGACUUGUCAGAAUCAGUCCUCAAAUUGUUUCCUCUUGGAAAACAACUUGAUAAUAUACAUCAAGAGCAACAAAAGUGCUAGGAAUCUAUUGGAAGCAAAUAUCCCCAAAUUGUCCAACAAUAAUGAGAUGGUUACAAAAAUAUGAAGACUUAAAGUUGUUAGCAGAUAACAGUGCUAUGUACAAGGGCAGAUAACACAACGUUGUAAAUCAGCUAUACUCCAAUACAAAAUUUUUUUAAAAAUAAAAGAGCAGAAUACUCGAUAAUGUG